UACGUAGGAGGCGAACGUUAUCCGGAAUUACUGGGCGUAAAGCGCACGCAGGCGGCUUCGUAAGUCCGACGUGAAAGCUCCCGGCUUAACUGGGAGAGGCCGUUGGAUACUGCGGAGCUCGAGGUUAGGAGAGGAAAGUGGAAUUCCCGGUGUAGUGGUGGAAUGCGUAGAUAUCGGGAGGAACCCCAGUGGCGAAAGCGACUUUCUAGCCUACACCUGACGCUGAGGUGCGAAAGCGUGGGGAGCGAACAGG
RNAcentral lists this ribosomal RNA (253 nucleotides) under uncultured bacterium. RNAcentral describes it as "partial 16S ribosomal RNA". It matches the Rfam family "Bacterial small subunit ribosomal RNA", at positions 524 to 776 of the family's 1533-position model. The record is from RNAcentral.